This 6680-nucleotide transfer RNA is filed under the name Heterocephalus glaber (naked mole-rat). RNAcentral's name for it is "lncRNA (ENSHGLG00000039452.1)". The stretch from base 3725 to 3795 matches the Rfam family "tRNA". Lineage: Eukaryota; Metazoa; Chordata; Mammalia; Rodentia; Bathyergidae. The record is from RNAcentral.
CGGGGCCUAGGGUGAAGUGGCUCCUCCUGACAGGAGUGUGGGGAAGCGCAAAGCUGCUCACAUCAUGGCAGCUAGGAAGCAGACAGAAAGGAGCAGGAAGGGGCGGAGCUCAGGUCCCUUCAAGGCCAUACCCCAAUGACCUAACUCCCUUUCACUAGGCCCUGCCCUUAAAGGUCUCACCACUUCUCAAUUGCACUGCAGGCUGGGGACUGAGCCUUCAACACUUGGGCUUUGGGGGAUAUUUAACAUCCAAACUACAGCAAUAUGCAAAGUUAAUGUUUAGUUACCAUUUUACUCUCUAGUUUCUUGUCUUGAUUAAAGCCACCUUACUGUUCCCAGUGUUUGUUUUUAAGGACCUCAAAACUUUUGGGGAUGUUUAAAGAAUCAUCACAUAAUGUAAGACUUAAUAAAAUAGAGAAGUUAAAGAGUUUUUCCACUAUAGCAAUGCCCUGAUCUACUUUAGCUGUGACACCAAGCAAAGUGCCAGCACAAAUCACAGCAUCAGAAACACUCUCUGUACAGCUCUAAAUAAAACAGUGCUGGGCUGGAGCAAAAUAAUCCUUUUCCGCUUUAUUAGCCUUCCUUCCAAAUUAAUAAACCCUUGGACCAAUCCUUCUAGGGGGGUCUUUCCCUAAAAGAUCAGUGGGUGGCCAAAUGGGUUGUGGAGUUUCUUGAACCUCAUGAAACAACCACAAAGAGCACGUUCAUUCUGAAACAAAACAUGGAAGAAAGCAAUGGGAUCUCCUGAGCUCUGACCCUCAGGCCCUUCUGCAGCACAGGGGCUCAUUCCCGCUGUCCAGCUCAGAACGGUGGACUUUAAUGUGGGCCCAGAGGGGGUCAGUAGCAGUGAAGGGUAUCACAGCCCCAGGCCAGCGAAGAUGGUCCUGCUCACUUCAGUUUCACAGCCAACUGUCCCACCCAGGUGCGAUGCCUGGCCUCCAGGGCCCAGCCUGGCCGGGGGAGGCGAGCGCUGAGUGGGUGCUAUCAAACCAAGUCCACCAUCCAGAGGUGACCAGCACCUGGGAGUUCCUGUCCGAAAUGUUAGUGGAUGGAGGGUCCCGUGGGGCUUCUUUCCAGGUUCUUGGUGACCUGAACAAGACACUCAGAAAAGGCAGCAAGAGUGUACAUUUAUUGAAGGCAGAAAAAUACACUCACAGCAGCCUUCGGGAGGGGGAAAGGUCUUUUGCAUCUGGAAUUCCUGCAUUAUCUCUCUCUCUUCAUGUAAAGAAGGCAUUAGAAUAGUCGUCCUAUCAAACACUCCCUGGGAAUGAACUGUCCUAUCCCAAAAUGCCUCUGGUUUUUGCCUUAUGUAAAUGAAGGAUCAGGAGCAGAGUCUUGAUUGGCUGUGCCCACAUGCAAAUGAAGGAUUGCGAAGAGCAUCUUCUGACUGGUCCUGUGAACAGCAGCAGAUUCAAAUGAGGGAUUGAAAAUAGCAAGAUUCUGAUUGGUCCAAAACAGCAUCUGAUUGGCUCUGUGCACUGGGUGAUAGUGUCAUUCACUGUACUGGGAAUGCCCCUCCCCCUGGACGUGUCCCUGCCCUACUGCCCUGUCCUAACCUUUAUCCACUCAGCUCUGCGGGCCCAGUGUGCCUGGCCACCAGGCUGUGGUCAUCUCGCCUGGUGACCACACUUCUAGGCUGGUGUGGGUUUUUAUCCUUUUCCCAUUAUUCUUAGGAUUAAGCAAAGGAGACAGAGGACAGAAAGGUUAUUUUCCUCAGAAGUGAGGCACAAAGGGUCAGAAUGCAUCCAGGUUUUCUGCCUUAGGACGGAAGGUGGCCAGGAAUGUCCCGCAGGCUUGGGACAUCCGGUGCCUCGGGAGCGGUUUGUUCAGAUCCUCGGUUUUCUGACACCAUCUGUCCACGGCCUCCUUGUCUACCCCACUCCUUCCAGGGCAGGCAUGGCUGGGAUCAGUAAUAUUUGCUGAAAGCAGAGGAUUUAUUGCUCUUUUGACCUAAUCCACCUGCAAUACAUAGGUCAUAUAACCCAUUUAGUGGUCUAUAAAUAAUGUUUAAUGCAACUUCCUUAAAAAAAAAUUUGACAAAUGAACUCAUAAAACCAUAACCUGAAGUGACGGCCCUUUCUCCUGUCAGCCCCAUGUUUCCUGCCCACCUGGGGUUGCUGGGUUUGAAACAGUGUCCCACAUACUCCCACCCACCAAAUUUACAAGAAAAACGUCACUUCCCAGGUAAAGGCACAACGCCGUGAAUUAUACACUUACAAAAACGUCUUAGAAAUGCAUGUUCCUUGGGAUUAUUGUUAGGGUAUUAAACAAAAGAAAGUCCCAAACUGGGUGUGGUGGCACACACCCACAAUCCCAGCCUUCUGGGAGGCUGAGGCAGGAGGAUCACAAAUUCAAGGCUAGCCUGAGUAAUGCAGAGACUUGGAAAGACCCUGUCUCACAAUAAAAAAGGGGGUGGAGAGGGGGGAUGUAGCUCAGUGCCUAGGCCCUGGGUCCAAUCCCCCAUCCUGCACACAACAAACACCACCAAACCCGCAGACCGUGCUCUGCACCCACGGCCCAGGGCUAUGUGGAUCUGGGGGUGGUUGGUGGUUCCAGAGGUGAGGGCGGGGUCUGCCCCACCGCACCUGACCCUUCCCUGGGACACUCUGCGCCCGGCCCUGCCUGCUAUCUGCACAAAGGCCUCCCGGGCGUCCUGGGCCGGGCCUGCGCACUGUCCCUGCCCACAGCACAGCUGAGGCUGCUCUCCCUGUGCUCUCAGGCGAAGGCCACCAUGCCACGGGGUAAAAGCCAGACACACGCCCAGGCCGCGUGGCCCCAGCUGCCUCGAAGACUCAGACGGGGUCCUUGAGCUUCCCGCUGCCCGGGCCCUGUGCCCGGCUCGGCUCCCACCCUAUAUGGGCUCUGUCCACACCCAACUGCAGCUCUCAGCUCAGUGCCAGGGACCCUGCCGCUUCCUCCCCCAGCCCAAGGACACUCAAGACCCCAGGACAGGGCCCCGACUGCCUGGCCACCUUACUUGAAGGUUUUUAUUGAUCGGUGGGCUGAUUGCGGUUUUCCAAGGUAGGAGCUUGCUGCGGAGUCCGUGCCCGCGAGCCACUGUCAGAGGCAGCUGGAGCCAGGGUUCAGGGUGGCUGCUCCGCAGCUCCCUGUUGGCAUGGGCCGUGCAUGAUUCGUGGGUUCUGUUUUCAAAGUGCAAUGAGAAAUCCGAGAGAGUCUAACAGGCCUGCUAGUAUGAGCGCCUAACGGGCGCCAUCCUUCCACUGUUCUCUCAGAGCCAUGGCUGCCCUUCCUCAGGCAUGGGAUGUUCAAGAGCGCAGGAAGAGCGCCCCCCAGCAGCUGGCAACGGGACACCGCCAGGCCUGGUGGGCCUGCAGCCAGCGCGGGUUGCGACACAUUAGGGGUGGCCGCUGUGUACAGGCCCUGAGUUGUCCUCCCAGCCAGCAAAAGCCGACCAAAUCCCUGCCAUGCAGACCUUUGUGGGGUUUGCUGAACGCAGUGAGCACCUUCCGUGCGUUGCAGGGUUUGACACUGCGGUGUGACAACGGCCUUACCAGUUUGCGGCCACAACCAUUCGAUGGCGUGUUGGGGCCCGCUGUGCACCCUCACGGUACUGGGUUCUAAGAGACACAAGAGUUCAGGGGUUGUGAGCGUCCGGCUCCCUGGAGUGUGGACCUGUCCGGACUCCACGGGUUCUGUCCAGUGCCUGGCAAAUGGAGUGCAUAACAAAGACUUCUUUAAUAAGGUCUUCAGCAGCCAGGCUGGCUGGGAUGUGGCUCAGUGGAGAGAGCUUGCCUAGUAUGCAGCAGGCUCUGGGUUCGAAUCCCAGCACUGCAGGGGCCAAGAGCAAAGGAAGGAAGGAAACAGAAGCUGCUGGACACAAGUUCAAGGGUCGGGGCCACCCUGAGCCCGUGCCAGAAGCAGCGGCACUUUUACUCCUUCUUUGGUUAGGAAGCAGGCUCGCUUGCCCACUUCCUUCCUGGGACACGGGGUCUCCUUGGGGCUUCACUUGUGCAGAGCUCGGUGGGAGACCCAGCACAAGGCUCACCACUGGGUUCCGAGUUAAGACCCUGGUGGCCAUGGAUUUCUGUGGUUUCUUAGACCAAGCCUAUGUUCUGGGGCCCCGGGGUCUGGGUGCAAAGCCAAACAUAGAGAAGAAAAUCACUCGCUCCUUCCCCGGAUCCCCGCCUGUGGCUGUGGCGAGGGCCCUGGAGCCAGCAGAGGCCAUGUCGGUGACACCCGGCCGGGAGCCCUCUCAGGGACCAUGCAGGGCCCAGGAGGAACUGGGCGUGGUGCUGCAUGGGGAAGUCCCCACCAGCGAGGGCACGUAGGCCUCAGGCAGCCCCCUCUGCACACAGACUGCUGCCUGCAUGGGUUGUUUCUGCAUCCAAAGCAACCACAGCGCUGAUUGGAUUGCUCUCCAGACUUGAGGACUGGAUCGACCAGAAGAAUCCAAAAGUUCCUUUGGUAAGAAUAGUAUCCAUUCAGGGCUGGGGAUUUAGCUCCGUGGUUCUGCCGCCUGUCUCGCAAGUGCAAGGUCCCAAGUUCAAUCCCCAGUACCAAAAAAAAAAAAAGAAUAGUAUCCAUUCAUUUAACUCAGAACUAGCCAGAUGUGCCCAUAAUUCCAGCUCUCAGGAGGCUGAAGCAGAAGGAUGGCAGCAAGACUGAGGCCAGUCUGGAUAACUUAGCAAGAGCCUGUCUCGAAAACAAGAAGCAAGCAAGCCUCAGCUCCAAAGGGGCAGGCAGUCAGGUUCCUGUCCCAGAAGGGCUCCCAGGCAGAGGGGCAGGGGCAGGCGUGGGGCCGUGCUGAUGCCCAGGUGUUAAACACGGGGCAGAAUUCAGAUAAACCCUCUCCAGCAAAGAGAGAAGGGCAAGCCUGUGCUCCACACACACGGGCCCCAUCUGGGGCACUGGAAGUGGAGCACAAGGACAGAAUAUUCCCGCCACGCCCUCGAAACUAGUGGGCGCGCGAGGAGGAGCCCCAGGCUCACAGGAGACUGUUCGGAAGUUCUCUCGCCUCCUCACCGCAGACUCCACCCUUCCUUCUUGUCCUUUGUUCUGGAGACAGGGUCUCCUUAUGUAACCCCCGCCCGGCCGUGACUUCACAGAGACCCCUUGCUCCAUGCACCUCCCUGCCUUGCCUGCCUUCUACUUUUGCUCCUUAACGACGCCCCUGGAGCUGCCCAACGAGACCUUGGGACCAGCCUCGUUGUAACUGCUGCGCUCCCCUGACCGGCCCCUGCUGGGCCUGGGCUUGCGGUGACUCCUCCGACCCGCAGCCGGCUCUGUGCACCCCGGGCUGAGCCUGUGCUUCCUCCCAGACACCUCCGCUGGGACCCCCGGCAUCUGUGCUGCAAGCUGCCGCUGCACGCCCCGCAGCCAGCUCCCCAGCCCAGCCCUGUGAACGCCCGCGGCGACGCUGGCUCCUGUCCGGGAAGCCCACCAGGCUGCUGCCGCCCGGGGCUGGGGGAGUAGGGUCCCCGUCCUCCUGCGAGGCGCCCGGCUCCUCACUGUCGCAUGCCGUCUCCCCGAACUCUGUCCCGGAAAUCUAGGGGCCGCUACUGCUGACCGGCGCUAGGACAGCGGCAGGAACGAGGACCCCGGGCUUGGGCCAUGGGAGGUGCCCCGGGAGCCCCAAGCCCCCGGCCCCGCUCUGAGGUCACACAGGGUGCUGCUGGGCUGGGAGAGGAGGACGUGGCCCACCCUCGAGGACCCCGGCUGUCCCCAGGAAUGAGUUGGUCCCCAAGCCACCUGGGGCUGCAGUCGGGGGAGGGGGACAGGUCAUCUGCCGCCACCUCCUUGCUGUCCACGGGAAAACGGGGUCUCCCAACUCCAGCCCUGGAAGGAGAGAGCUGGAAACCACUCCUGCCUGCAGCCCCAGGAGGAGGGACAACUCCUGUUGGUGAUGUUUGGAAGAAGAGACAGAACUCAUCUUGUUUUGUUUUGUUUUUGGCUUUUUGACACACGGUCUCACUAUGCAGUUCAGGCUGGUCUUGAACUCACUAUGUAGCCCAGGCUGGCCUCAAACUCAUGGAGAUCCUCCUGCCUCAGCCUCCACAGUGCUGGGGACUAUAGGCAUGGGCCACCACACCCAGUUUGCUCUUAAUUUUAGAGUUUGUUUUCAGGAUGCUAUGAGUUGAAUUAUGUCCCCCUAAAAAGGAACCCUGAAGUCCUAAACCCUCAAAAUGUGGCAAGAUGUGGACACAGAGGCAUCCAAAAUAAUAUCCGGUUAUGUGGCCCCUAAGUCCAUCUGACCAAGUCCUCAGGUGAGGGCAGCCACUGCGGAGGCCAGGUGGAUCCCAGGUGACCAUGGGGACAGAGAUGACGGGGGAAGCUGCCAGGCUGAGAGCUGGAAAAGGGACACACGAGGCCACCUGCCUCUGCCCAGGCGGCGGUCAACUGGCUUCCCCAGCCAGGGCCAGGGGAAUCAGGCGGGCAGAAAGCGAGCGUCCUCAGGCAGGCCUUUGCCUCCUCCAAACAGCACCCACUCGCUGCACGACUGUUCCCGAGGGCUGAGGUCCUAGCACCCCAAAUCGGCUAAAGCAUGUGCUUGCCACAGCCAAGCGCACUCACCUGAGGGCAGCCUGUGAGACUGCGAACAGGCUGGCGCACCUGCAAUCCCAGCUGCUCAGAGGCUGAGGCAGGCGGAUCCCAGGUCCGGGGUCAGCCGGGGGAAUUACUCUCCUUGGUCCUGACCCCGCCCGCCCAGGGUGCCAGGCGUC